GACGAACGCUGGCGGCGUGCCUAACACAUGCAAGUCGAACGGAAAGACCCUGAUUUUGUGCGGUGCUCGAGUGCCGAUCGCGUGCGUAACACGUGUGUAUCCUCCCCUUCUUUUUGGGAUAACUUCAGGAAACUGGGGCUACUAUCGGAUAGGAGAUCCUGCAGCGUGGUGGGGAUUGGAAAGUUUCGGCGGUGGGGGAUGGACUCGCGGCUUAUCAGCUUGUUGGUGGGGUAGUGGCUUACCAAGGCUUUGACGGGUAGCCGGCCUGGGAGGGGGACCGGCCUCAAUAGGACUAAGGGACGGCCCAGACGCGUACGUUAGGCAGCGGGGGGAAGUAUGACACAGUGGGCGGAAGUCUGUGGCGACGACGCCGCGUGCGUAAUGACGUCUUUCUGGUUGUGAACCGCUGUCGCCUGUGACGAAGCGGGAGUGACGGUAAUGAGUAAAGAAGCACCGGCUAACUACGUG
This 468-nucleotide ribosomal RNA is filed under the name uncultured bacterium. RNAcentral describes it as "partial 16S ribosomal RNA". It matches the Rfam family "Bacterial small subunit ribosomal RNA", at positions 28 to 507 of the family's 1533-position model. The record is from RNAcentral.